UACCAAUUCAUAACGGGGCCUCUUGAUU
This 28-nucleotide non-coding RNA is filed under the name Bombyx mori (domestic silkworm). The record is from RNAcentral. Lineage: Eukaryota; Metazoa; Arthropoda; Insecta; Lepidoptera; Bombycidae.